Molecule: long non-coding RNA, 201 nt
Filed under: Gossypium raimondii (Peruvian cotton)
Lineage: Eukaryota; Viridiplantae; Streptophyta; Magnoliopsida; Malvales; Malvaceae
Description: long non-coding RNA (GRAI_LNC007725)
Source: RNAcentral
GCCGAAUAUUUCUUUUUGUUCCAAUUGGGUCCCUCCCUGCGCAGCGCAUUGGAAGGAUGGGAUAAUAUCCCUUUUGGUCCUCCAUGGAUACGCGCGCGUUCGAGUGGGUCCCUUUUUCUCUUUUUUAAGAAUUUUUUAUUUUAAAUUUGCCCCAUUGUUUCGUUUGUAACUCAAUUUAAUCCAUUUUUUUCAUAAUUAUGC